GACGAACGCUGGCGGCGUGCUUAACACAUGCAAGUCGAACGGAAAGGCCCUGCUUUUGUGGGGUGCUCGAGUGGCGAACGGGUGAGUAACACGUGAGUAACCUGCCCUUGCCUUUGGGAUAACUUCAGGAAACUGGGGCUAAUACCGGAUAGGAGCUCCUGCUGCAGGGUGGGGGUUGGAAAGUUUCGGCGGUUGGGGAUGGACUCGCGGCUUAUCAGCUUGUUGGUGGGGUAGUGGCUUACCAAGGCUUUGACGGGUAGCCGGCCUGAGAGGGUGACCGGCCACAUUGGGACUGAGAUACGGCCCAGACGCCUACGGGAGGCAGCAGUGGGGAAUAGUGCACAAUGGGCGGCAGCCUGAUGCAGCAACGCCGCGUGCUGGAUGACGGCCUUCGGGGUGGAAACCGCUUUCGCCUGUGACGAAGCGUGAGUGACGGUAAUGGGUAAAGAAGCACCGGCUAACUACGUG
RNAcentral lists this ribosomal RNA (468 nucleotides) under uncultured bacterium. RNAcentral describes it as "partial 16S ribosomal RNA". It matches the Rfam family "Bacterial small subunit ribosomal RNA", at positions 28 to 507 of the family's 1533-position model. The record is from RNAcentral.